GACGAACGCUGGCGGCGUGCUUAACACAUGCAAGUCGAACGGAAAGGCCCUGCUUUUGUGGGGUGCUCGAGUGGCGAACGGGUGAGUAACACGUGAGUAACCUGCCCUUGACUUUGGGUUAACUUCAGGAAACUGGGGCUAAUACCGGAUAGGAGCUCCUGCUGCAUGGUGGGGGUUGGAAAGUUUCGGCGGUUGGGGAUGGACUCGCGGCUUAUCAGCUUGUUGGUGGGGUAGUGGCUUACCAAGGCUUUGACGGGUAGCCGGCCUGAGAGGGUGACCGGCCACAUUGGGACUGAGAUACGGCCCAGACUCCUACGGGAGGCAGCAGUGGGGAAUAUUGCACGAUGGGCGGAAGCCUGAUGCAGCAACGCCGCGUGCGGGAUGACGGCCUUCGGGUUGUAAACCGCUUUCGCCUGUGACGAAGCGUGAGUGACGGUAAUGGGUAAAGAAGCACCGGCUAACUACGUG
This 468-nucleotide ribosomal RNA is filed under the name uncultured bacterium. RNAcentral's name for it is "partial 16S ribosomal RNA". It matches the Rfam family "Bacterial small subunit ribosomal RNA", at positions 28 to 507 of the family's 1533-position model. The record is from RNAcentral.